CCUCAGAGCUCAGGUGGCUGAGAAUGACAGUACACAUCAGGCGAUGGAGAUGUUUCUCUUUCUUCUGAUAAGCACUUAAAUGCUUACCAGGUUCCACUACCUGGGCAACAAAUGUCAUCCUUGCCUUUGGCUGUGGAUUGGUGCAUUUGAUCCUAUCAAUCCCUUGUUUUCAGCCUAAUCCAACUUCCCCAAAACAUGGGGAAAAGAAGAGGAGAAUAUCAGAAAGCUUUCAAAUUUGCAACUGCAAGACUGAUACACAUUUUGCAAGGAUCUGUCUGAUGUGUACAACAAACAUUGGAAUUAAGGCUUCUACAAUACUGGUAUGUGGUCAAGUCUAUGGCUGUGCAAUGCUGGACUUCCGCAAAGCAUCUCCAGCUUCCACUGUUACCCAACUUGUAAACCAGAAGAUGUGCUGAUGUAGGUGGAUAGCAGCUCCAAGAUAUUCUAAUUGACAGGCCCCUCCUUGAGCAAGACCCCCACCCAAUUGAGAGAGGAAAAAACCCCAACAGAUGCAUUGCCUGUAUGAACAGUGAUGACAGGACGCCAGCUACUACCUCUUUCAUUCACACUUGCAAGGAGACUGAUUCUCUGAAAAACCACAAGGCACCCGCUGUACCUUGCUGUACCUGCCAUCACCCUGCUACCCUCACCCCGUCCUAUUCACUAGCCUCAAGACUGUCACCCGAGACCCCCAAAUUUUUCACCCUCUGAGCUGACACCUCUUCCCCUACUUAAACUCCCUGAUAUAAACUGCACGUGUGCCCUCCUUCCUAUGUCAAUGACCUUUUUGCUCUUGGCCCAUCUGCAC
Heterocephalus glaber (naked mole-rat) is the source of this 808-nucleotide non-coding RNA. The record is from RefSeq and is a predicted model, not a curated record. NCBI's taxonomy places the organism in Eukaryota, Metazoa, Chordata, Mammalia, Rodentia, Bathyergidae.